Molecule: ribosomal RNA, 448 nt
Filed under: uncultured Bacteroidota bacterium
Lineage: Bacteria; Pseudomonadati; Bacteroidota
Description: bacterial SSU rRNA
Rfam family: Bacterial small subunit ribosomal RNA
Source: RNAcentral
GAUGAGCAUGCGUCCCAUUAGCUAGUUGGUAAGGUAACGGCUUACCAAGGCAACGAUGGGUAGGGGUCCUGAGAGGGAGAUCCCCCACACUGGUACUGAGACACGGACCAGACUCCUACGGGAGGCAGCAGUGAGGAAUAUUGGUCAAUGGGCGCAAGCCUGAACCAGCCAUGCCGCGUGCAGGAUGAAGCAUCUAUGGUGUGUAAACUGCUUUUGUACGAGAAGAAACACUCCUACGUGUAGGAGCUUGACGGUAUCGUAAGAAUAAGGACCGGCUAACUCCGUGCCAGCAGCCGCGGUAAUACGGAGGGUCCAAGCGUUAUCCGGAAUCAUUGGGUUUAAAGGGUCCGUAGGCGGUUUAGUAAGUCAGUGGUGAAAGCCCAUCGCUCAACGGUGGAACGGCCAUUGAUACUGCUAAACUUGAAUUAUUAGGAAGUAACUAGAAUAU